CCAGACUCCUACGGGAGGCAGCAGUGAGGAAUAUUGGUCAAUGGGCGAGAGCCUGAACCAGCCAAGUCGCGUGAGGGAAGACGGUCCUAUGGAUUGUAAACCUCUUUUGCCGGGGAGCAAAAAGCGGUACGUGUACCGCAUCGAGAGUACCCGGAGAAAAAGCAUCGGCUAACUCCGUGCCAGCAGCCGCGGUAAUACGGAGGAUGCGAGCGUUAUCCGGAUUUAUUGGGUUUAAAGGGUGCGCAGGCGGAAGAUCAAGUCAGCGGUAAAAUUGAGAGGCUCAACCUCUUCGAGCCGUUGAAACUGGUCUUCUUGAGUGAGCGAGAAGUAUGCGGAAUGCGUGGUGUAGCGGUGAAAUGCAUAGAUAUCACGCAGAACUCCGAUUGCGAAGGCAGCAUACCGGCGCUCAACUGACGCUCAUGCACGAAAGUGUGGGUAUCGAACAGGAUUAGAUACCCUCGUACA
Molecule: ribosomal RNA, 465 nt
Filed under: uncultured bacterium
Lineage: Bacteria
Description: bacterial SSU rRNA
Rfam family: Bacterial small subunit ribosomal RNA
Source: RNAcentral